Molecule: ribozyme, 117 nt
Filed under: Symbiodinium sp. Mp
Lineage: Eukaryota; Dinophyceae; Suessiales; Symbiodiniaceae
Description: partial Plasmodium RNase_P
Rfam family: Eukaryotic large subunit ribosomal RNA
Source: RNAcentral
UGUGAAGGAAAGAUGAAAAGAACUUUGAAAAGAGAGUGAAAGAGUACCUGAAAUUGCUAAAAGGGAACAGAUUGCAACUAGUGUGUUUCUUCAUAUUUUUCAUUUACAUUUUGUUUA